Molecule: long non-coding RNA, 1285 nt
Organism: Acanthochromis polyacanthus (spiny chromis)
Lineage: Eukaryota; Metazoa; Chordata; Actinopteri; Pomacentridae
Exons: 3
Source: RefSeq, a predicted model, not a curated record
UAAACAAAAAUAAAUAAAUUGCAAACAAAAAAUAAAAAUUUGAGAGAUAUAAUCUUACUCAAGCAAAAAAAUAAUACUUGCAAUCAAAAUAUUUGUGUGACUGUGUAAAUAUUUAGCCUUUUACUUUUCCAAUCAUCAGUUCUUUUGUUUACAGUUCUGUCUUUUUUUCCCUCACUGAUCAGACUUUUGUUUUCAAUGCCAGCUUUCUCAUUUGCGCUGCCUGACAUUUUGCUUGAGAUUUUUGGCACAAACCUCUCGGGUGGGCGGGCCUUGUGAGGAAUGCGUCCUCAUUGGCUGACUAGUUUUUGAGUGACACCCCGUGCCCCGGAUGUUGUUCUGUACGGCGGGUGAAUUCGGAUGUGUGGGAUGUACUGUGGUAAGCUACUCUAACGUAAAAAAGUCAUCUCAGGACUCCCCCACCUCCGCUACCGGUCUGACCUCCCCUCUAUAAUGAUGCAGUCCCAGGAUCAAGUGCGGUAUGAAAUCUUGCAGAGGAUUCAAGCUAGAUUUAGUCUCAUUCUCAGAAAUGAAACAAUUGAUUUGGAAUACCUUCUGGAUGUUGCUCAACAAGAGUUUCAUUGGCAACAAUGGCAUCACAUCACCUGAGCAUCCCUCCAGAACUCAUCAGCAGUCUACAGCAGUUGAUCAACACCCUCAGCGUCAAUGUUUUAUAUGGUCCUGAAGCAUCUGCAAAUGUGUCAAAUACUGUAACUGUCCCUAUGGGGAAUCGGGGACGGCCACGCCUGGAAAUUGACACUGAAGACCUUCGUCAUCUCCUUUCUACUGCUCUUCCUGUGGAAUAUUUUGCCAGGUUGUAUGGUGUUUCAAGAAGAACACUGAACAGGCGGAUGAAAGAGGAUGGCCUCUCUGUUCGUGGAUUUUACUCGAAAAUAUCAGAUGAUGAUCUUGAUCGUGCAGUAAGGUCCAUCAAAACAAGAAUGCCUCAUGCUGGGUAUAGACUGGUAAAAGGUGAGCUGUUAGCCAGAGGCCACCGUGUGCAGUGGGACAGGGUGAAGGCUACCAUGCACCGAGUGGAUGGAGCAGGAAUUUUGGCUAGGAUGAUACAACUUGGAUUUGUCGCUCGCAGAAGCUACUGUGUUCCUGCACCAUUGUCCUUGGUUCAUGUAGACACCAACCAUAAAUUAAUCAGGUGAGUGAUUCUAUCAUCUUGUGCUCACUCUUACACUCUCACUCACAGUCAAAUUUUUUCUUUAUUUUUGUCUUUUGCCCAUCAAAUGUAUGGAAGAUAUGUACUAUCUUCUCCUCAGAUUUAAUAUUGUCAUCU